RNAcentral lists this transfer RNA (78 nucleotides) under Oscillospiraceae bacterium. RNAcentral's name for it is "tRNA-OTHER". Lineage: Bacteria; Bacillati; Bacillota; Clostridia; Eubacteriales; Oscillospiraceae. The record is from RNAcentral.
CAGCGGGGAACAGUACCUUCAAAAACUCGAAAUCAGUUUGCGGGCAACCGCACGGGGGUUCGAAUCCCUCCCGCUGCG